RNAcentral lists this ribosomal RNA (878 nucleotides) under uncultured archaeon. RNAcentral's name for it is "bacterial SSU rRNA". It matches the Rfam family "Archaeal small subunit ribosomal RNA", at positions 114 to 997 of the family's 1478-position model. The record is from RNAcentral.
CUAAGGUGGGGGAUAACCCCGGGAAACUGGGGAUAAUACCCCAUAGACUAUAGAUGCUGGAAUGCUUUGUAGUUGAAAGGUCAGCCGCCAUAGGAUGGGUCUGCGGCCGAUUAGGUAGUUGUUGGGGUAACGGCCCAACAAGCCUGUAAUCGGUACGGGUUGUGGGAGCAAGAGCCCGGAGAUGGAUUCUGAGACACGAAUCCAGGCCCUACGGGGCGCAGCAGGCGCGAAAACUUUACAAUGCGGGAAACCGUGAUAAGGGAACUCCGAGUGCCCGUUAAAUCGGGCUGUCCAUCAGUUUAAAAAACUGGUGAAGAAAGGGCCGGGCAAGACCGGUGCCAGCCGCCGCGGUAAUACCGGCGGCUCGAGUGGUGGCCACUAUUACUGGGCUUAAAGCGUUCGUAGCUGGUUUGUUAAGUCUCUGGGGAAAUCUUCCGGCUUAACCGGAAGGCGUCUCAGGGAUACUGGCAAACUAGGGACCGGAAGAGGUGAGGGGUACUCCAGGGGUAGGAGUGAAAUCCUGUAAUCCUUGGGGGACCACCUGUGGCGAAGGCGCCUCACCAGGACGGCUCCGACAGUGAGGGACGAAAGCUGGGGGAGCAAACCGGAUUAGAUACCCGGGUAGUCCCAGCCGUAAACGAUGUGCGUUAGGUGUAUCGGUGACCACGAGUCACCGAGGUGCCGAAGAGAAAUCGUGAAACGUACCGCCUGGGAAGUACGGUCGCAAGGCUGAAACUUAAAGGAAUUGGCGGGGGAGCACCACAACAGGUGGAGCCUGCGGUUUAAUCGGACUCAACGCCGGAAAACUCACCAGAUAAGACAGCUGAAUGAUAGUCGGGCUGAAGACUCUACUUGACUAGCUGAGAGGAGGUGCAUGG